Molecule: ribosomal RNA, 358 nt
Filed under: Bodianus dictynna (redfin hogfish)
Lineage: Eukaryota; Metazoa; Chordata; Actinopteri; Labriformes; Labridae
Description: partial 12S ribosomal RNA
Rfam family: Bacterial small subunit ribosomal RNA
Source: RNAcentral
UCCUUGUUUUUCCCGCCUAUAUACCGCCGUCGUCAGCUUACCCUGUGAAGGCCCAAUAGUAAGCACAAUUGGCACAGCCCAAAACGCCAGGUCGAGGUGUAGCGUAUGGAGGGGGAAGAAAUGGGCUACAUUCAGUGAAUCACUGAACACGGAAGGCGGGCUGAAACGCCCGCCCGAAGGAAGUGUUAGCAGUAAGUGGGAAAUAGAGCGUCCCACUGAAACUGGCCCUGAAGCGCGUGCACACCGCCCGUCACUCUCCCCGAAACAAAGCUAUACGCAUACAUAAAACCUAAUCAUCAAGAAGGGGAGGCAAGUCGUAACAUGGUAAGUGUACCGGAAGGUGCACUUGGAAAAAAAU